Molecule: ribosomal RNA, 471 nt
Filed under: uncultured organism
Description: partial 16S ribosomal RNA
Rfam family: Bacterial small subunit ribosomal RNA
Source: RNAcentral
ACACUCCUGCGGGAAGCAGCAGUGGGGAAUAUUGCACAAUGGGCGCAAGCCUGAUGCAGCCAUGCCGCGUGUAUGAAGAAGGCCUUCGGGUUGUAAAGUACUUUCAGCGGGGAGGAAGGCGAUAAGGUUAAUAACCUUGUCGAUUGACGUUACCCGCAGAAGAAGCACCGGCUAACUCCGUGCCAGCAGCCGCGGUAAUACGGAGGGUGCAAGCGUUAAUCGGAAUUACUGGGCGUAAAGCGCACGCAGGCGGUCUGUCAAGUCGGAUGUGAAAUCCCCGGGCUCAACCUGGGAACUGCAUUCGAAACUGGCAGGCUAGAGUCUUGUAGAGGGGGGUAGAAUUCCAGGUGUAGCGGUGAAAUGCGUAGAGAUCUGGAGGAAUACCGGUGGCGAAGGCGGCCCCCUGGACAAAGACUGACGCUCAGGUGCGAAAGCGUGGGGAGCAAACAGGAUUAGAUACCCUAGUAGUCC